GAGAUUCUAGGGUUGCCAACUCAUGAAACAAAACAAAAAAAAAUUCUGGCAGCUGGAUAGGGUCCAGAGAUGUCCGCAUCUUGUGUGUUGCAAGAUUCAAUCUGGAAACUUGACACCAUAGUCCAACACCAGAAGCAUAAUGGUCACUGUAAAAACACAAAGAAGCUAUUGCCACAGAGAUUAUGAAGAUGCUUCAUGUUGUUCACCAUCUUGGACAUUGGCAUGGAAGGGCAGGAGAGAUUGGAAUAGAAUAGAGGACUGUUCAGAGGAUGUUCGGAUGACAAAACAGCUGGAGAGGUCAGAGAUGAAGAGGAGUGAGGAAAACAGCUGCAGGAGAAGUUUGGAGAAUGAUGCAACAAGAAGUCGGCCUUUCAAGGGAGCCCAGCCCUGCAAGCAACAGGGGAGGCCCCAGUGGAUGAAGCAUCUCAUCCCCGUGAAGAUGCACAGAGCAACCCUCCACAUGCCGUCAAAACCUGCUCCAGCACUGCAGUCCAACAACCUCCUAAGGCAGUAA
Molecule: long non-coding RNA, 514 nt
Filed under: Podarcis muralis (Common wall lizard)
Lineage: Eukaryota; Metazoa; Chordata; Lepidosauria; Squamata; Lacertidae
Description: lncRNA (ENSPMRG00000007759.1)
Source: RNAcentral